CCUGACUGCUAUCGGAUUGAUACUAAGCCAUGUGAGUCUUUGUAGCAAUACAAGGCGUACGGCUCAGUAACACGUAGUCAACCUACCUUAUGGACGGGGAUAACCUCGGGAAACUGAGAAUAAUUCCCGAUAGAUCAUUAUGCCUGGAAUGGUUUAUGGUCAAAAUGAAUUUCGCCAUAGGAUGGGACUGCGGUCUAUCAGCUUGUUGGUGAGUUAAUGGCCCACCAAGGCUAUAACAGAUACGGGCUCUGAGAGGAGAAGCCCGGAGAUGGGUACUGACACACGGACCCAGGUCCUAUGGGGCGCAGCAGGCGAGAAAACUUUGCAAUGUGCGAAAGCACGACAAGGUUAAUCCGAGUGUUUCCUGCUAAAGGAAUCUUUUGUUAGUCAUAAAACCACUGAUGAAUAAGGGGUGGGCAAGUUCUGGUGUCAGCCGCCGCGGUAAAACCAGCACCUCAAGUGGUCAGGAGGAUUAUUGGGCCUAAAGCAUCCGUAGCCUGCUUUGUUAGUUUUCGGUUAAAUCCAUAUGCUCAACAUAUGGGCUGCCGGGAAUACUGCAUAGCUAGGGAGUGGGAGAGGUAGACGGUACUCCGUAGGAAGGGGUAAAAUCCUUUGAUCUAUGGAUGACCACCUGUGGCGAAGGCGGUCUACCAGAACACGUCCGACGGUGAGGGAUGAAAGCUGGGGGAGCAAACCGGAUUAGAUACCCGGGUAGUCCCAGCUGUAAACUAUGCAAACUCAGUGAUGCAUUGGCUUGUGGCCAGUGCAGUGCCGCAGGGAAGCCGUUAAGUUUGCCGCCUGGGAAGUACGUACGCAAGUAUGAAACUUAAAGGAAUUGGCGGGGGAGCACCACAAGGGGUGAAGCCUGCGGUUC
Molecule: ribosomal RNA, 874 nt
Filed under: uncultured archaeon
Lineage: Archaea
Description: bacterial SSU rRNA
Rfam family: Archaeal small subunit ribosomal RNA
Source: RNAcentral